RNAcentral lists this transfer RNA (76 nucleotides) under Prauserella muralis. RNAcentral describes it as "tRNA-Ala". It matches the Rfam family "tRNA". Rfam says of the family: Transfer RNA (tRNA) molecules are approximately 80 nucleotides in length. Their secondary structure includes four short double-helical elements and three loops (D, anti-codon, and T loops). Further hydrogen bonds mediate the characteristic L-shaped molecular structure. tRNAs have two regions of fundamental functional importance: the anti-codon, which is responsible for specific mRNA codon recognition, and the 3' end, to which the tRNAs corresponding amino acid is attached (by aminoacyl-tRNA synthetases). tRNAs cope with the degeneracy of the genetic code in two manners: having more than one tRNA (with a specific anti-codon) for a particular amino acid; and 'wobble' base-pairing, i.e. permitting non-standard base-pairing at the 3rd anti-codon position. Lineage: Bacteria; Bacillati; Actinomycetota; Actinomycetes; Pseudonocardiales; Pseudonocardiaceae. The record is from RNAcentral.
GGGGCUAUGGCGCAGCUGGUAGCGCGUCUCACUGGCAGUGAGAAGGUCAGGGGUUCGAGUCCCCUUAGCUCCACCC